GGGUCCGUAGCUUAAUGGUAGAGCAACAUCCUCUUAAGAUGAUGGUUGAGGGUUCGAUUCCCUCCGGGCCCA
This 72-nucleotide transfer RNA is filed under the name Candidatus Amesbacteria bacterium RIFOXYB1_FULL_44_23. RNAcentral's name for it is "tRNA-Lys". It matches the Rfam family "tRNA". Rfam says of the family: Transfer RNA (tRNA) molecules are approximately 80 nucleotides in length. Lineage: Bacteria; Candidatus Amesiibacteriota. The record is from RNAcentral.